CGGGACGAGGGCGCGGUCGCGCCCGAGGGCCGAACCCCUCGGGUGAGGAAAGUCCGGGCACCAUAGGGCAGGGUGCCAGGUAACGCCUGGGCGGGGUAACCCGACGGAAAGUGCCACAGAGAAGAGACCGCCAGCGGCCGAGGCCAAGCCUCGGUGCGGGCAAGGGUGAAACGGUGGGGUAAGAGCCCACCGCCUGGCCUGGCAACAGGCCGGGGCACGGCAAACCCCACCCGGUGCAAGGCCCGGUAGAGGGGAAGGGCUUGCCCGGCCCGCCAGAACCCCUGGGAUGGGCCGCUUGAGGCCGGUGGCGACACCGGUCCCAGAGAGAUGACCGCGGAAAACAGAACCCGGCUUACGCCUCGUCCCGGAGG
This 371-nucleotide RNase P RNA is filed under the name Thermus thermophilus. Its description in RNAcentral is "RNase P RNA component class A". It matches the Rfam family "Bacterial RNase P class A". Rfam says of the family: Ribonuclease P (RNase P) is a ubiquitous endoribonuclease, found in archaea, bacteria and eukarya as well as chloroplasts and mitochondria. RNAcentral also lists the same sequence under 1 other name. The record is from RNAcentral. Lineage: Bacteria; Thermotogati; Deinococcota; Deinococci; Thermales; Thermaceae.